CCCGCGUCGGUUCCAUUCGGCAGCUGGGACGUCGCUCGUCCUUCCUGGGUUGGUAGCCGGCCUCAUCUCGCCGGCAGCGGCUCACGGUGGCACUGUGAAGGCCGUUGGUUUUGUAAGCCGGAACUUUCUUCUCCGGCCACCGAUUCAAGGUAUCUUUGGGGGAUUUUGUAGCUCUUUGAUUAGUCUUUCAACCACCCAAAAGAGGUAGAACGAUUUGGAGUAUAGGGCAAAUCGGAGCUCUUGAGUUCUUGAGUUUAUAAUGAGUUUUCCGGCCAAAUCUUUGAGCUCUAGAGUUUGUGUUAGGCAUGAUUGUUCUUAUGCUUGAUGAGAGGAAGAGUUUGCUGUAUGCCUUGUUAAUUUUGGUUGAAGUUGAUUUAGUGGUGGUGGUUGACCGCCACUGCCGGCGGUUGACCGCCACAGCCGGUGACUGCUGCCGGUUUUGGUGGUGGUUUUGAGUAAUUUUGGAUGAGUUCUAGAAGGGAUAAAUGUUGUUGUAUUGUAUGGUGAUUUUUGGUGAAGAGUGUUUAGAAUUUGGAUAGUUUUGAUGGCUCCAUGGGUGAGAGAUGAGUGGUAUUGAAGUAUUGGAAAUUUUGGUGAGUGUUAGUAGGAAUUUAGUAAAGUUUAAGUCGAUUUUGGUGAAAGAGUAGAGGUGAGCCUCAUCCUUGGAAAUUUCCAUAUUUGUCCUUAAGCGGUAGAACGUUGAGGAGAAAUUGGAGAUGAUUAGUAAAAAUAGGGUUGGAGGUCUUCUUAAGUUGGAAUGAGUAUCGAGUAAGUGAGGACGACUUUAUAUUUGUUAAAUUUGAUAUUCUUGUAUUUUUGUCUCGGACCUUAAAUCUCGUUUUGUACAGGACGAGAGGAGACACCACGUGAGGAGGGCUCUGACCGACGUCAGGCAUAGCCGUCUAUAUUGUGAGUGGACACUUUGUUUUUAAUGGAAUAUGCAUGCUUGAUUAGAGAUUUGAAAUAUGUGGAUUAUUUGGCUUAAUUAUUACUUUGAGCAUUUUAACGUGUGGGACACGUUAUUAAAUUUAAUUUAUUUCUUUCUUAUGCUAUAUUUGUUGGAUUAUAUGAUAUCAAUGCUAGCAUGUCGUUCCACCUUUCGAGGUGAUGUGACUCCCACGUUUCAAGUGGGGUCACGCAAGCCCUUUCCACCCUAGUGGUGAUGUGAUGUUGCCGGCGGCAUCACGCAAGCCCUGUGCUCUAUCCGUCCACUCGACGUGAAGGUACAUGGAUUAUGGGAGUACUAUGUCUGAGAGGCAACCGAGUCUGGGAGACUCACUUAUAUGGCCAUAUAGGAUAUUUUAUUUGAGUUGUUAAUUUGACUAGCCAUUAUUUUGAAAGUUUCUUGAAUGAGAAAUUUAUUUAUUUUUUUUAUUGUAUUAUGACUAGCGGGGCUAGUGUGAAUUUUUAUUGAGUUUAUAAUAUUUGCAUGCAUGAAAAUUCUUGAAUUCUGUAUAAAUGGAAAAGCAUAUAAAAAUUUAAUUUAGUAUCUUUAUGCUCUUGGAUACUUAUUAAUUAGUUUAUUUUUCGUCCACUCACGCUAAUGUUUUUAAAUGCUUUUCCCUGGGCCCUUUGUUUUCAAAUGCCCAGAUUGCAGAGCUCCUGUUCGGUUUCACUAGGAGUUGAGGCUGUUCGGUUUCACUAGGAGUUGAGGCAUAGUUUUUCCGCUGCACCUUGCUGACCGUAGGUUACCUGUUAACCUAUGUGUAGUAUUAUAUUUCCUUCUGGUAGUGCUCUGAUAACCAUCGGGAUAUGUAAAAUAAGUUGGAGUUAUUUUUAAGGGUUAUGACCCAAGUAGGGAGUUUAACUUUGGUCGGUGUUUGUAUUUAAAUAUCGUAGUUGAAUAUUGGGUUUGAAUUGGAAGUGCUGUUAUGACUUGGAUUUUGUUGUGGGGAGCGAAGGACUCCAGGAGAUGUGGUUGUUUGAUUUAGUUGAAGUGUUCAUGGUUCUUUUCUCGCAGGUUGGGUUGUCUAUUUUUAGGGGAGAUUAUGCUGAAAUUUCUGUAUAAUCUCUUUUAAGAGUGGACCCCGCAGGACUUGCCUGUUUUACUGUGUGUUUUUGGGGCGGGUCUUGUCAAUAAAGUCCAAAAUGGUAUUGUUAUUGAUGGAGUGAACUGCAACACUGAUACAUGGAAACUCUUGGAUGAAUAGGUGGCGAAUCACUAUAAGAACUGGUUUGAUUUGAACAAGGACAAGAAUGAUGAGUAAGUUUAUUCUUCCCAAGUUUAUAUAUCUAUAUACAGAAAGGAUAGAGAGCGGACGUCCGCACUCUGGCUUAAAGUGCGGACUUCGUCCGUUCUCUGCUGUCUCACGCCGACGACGGCUUCUCUCCUUCCCGGACGACAGCACAGGCUUCCAGGACAGUUUCUCUCCUUCCAGGACUGGCCGGCGACAAGUUUUCCGGCCGGAUUGAAGCUCUGGACGGAAAACACCAUGAUUGAUCAAGGUUGGCCGGAAAACUUGUCGCCGGCCAGUCCUGGAAGGAGAGAAGCCGUCCUGGAAGCCGGUUAAGCCGGAGUGCGGACGUCCGCUCUACAUCCGGCCUGUAUCUAUAUAUAUAUAUAUAUAUAUAUAACAUUGCAAUUAGUUCCUUGGUUUGACUUGCUUAUGACUUAUUUGUGUCUGCACAGUUUCCGGUAUUGGGAAUGUUGUGAUGGUAUCAUUGACAUUACCAAAGAUGAAUUGAAAAGAAUAAUUCAAGAAGGAGUGAUUACAUCUAAUGUGAUAAAAAAUUACUUGUCUUACUAACCCCAAUAAAGUUGAUGUUUGAGUAACCUAAGAUGUAUUCUUUGUUGUAAUUUGUGACUUAUAUAUGUUGUACAUGCAGACCAUCAGGGUGUACCCCCAAAUGUUGAAAGAGGAAGUGGAAAAGAAGAAGGUCUCGGUCAGAUUCCUAGACAUAGAGGUAGCGGUAAGUAGUCUAACCUGAAAUAGCAGCGUGCCGCAGCACUGCGGUCUCUUCCGUUACUUUUUUUUAGUUAAUACAAUCUUACUACUUGCUUUUAUAAAUAUAGCGCGCGGCGGUGGUAGAUGAACAAAAACUGAAGGAGUUCCUAGCUGGGAGGAGGAAAACAAGGGGAAUUCAAAUGUAAUGAAUUGGAUAUAGAGCUUUUCAUUAUUAAUCCUCUGUGGUCCAUCUUCAAAAAGGACGUGGUUUUCAUUCCGGUACAUCACGGGGUCAGCCACCACUAUACCUUGGUUCUGAUUGACAACAAAGAUCGAUGCUUUUAGCACCUGAACUCAAUGCUACCGCCAAAGAAAUAUUACUCUGCCAACACCAACAACCACUUUCAGAAUAUAAUGGCAGUGGUGAGUUGUAACUAAUUUAUUAGGGUAAGAAGUUUACUGGUGUAAUACUCUAGAUUUUCAUAUCAUUUUUCCUUGUAUUAUUCCCUUAUUUAAUGAAGGAUUAUUUAUGGAAAUUCUUUGGUUUAUGCGAAGUUGAAGUUUCAGGAGUUAUUUUAAGGUGCCUUGACUUUUAAGAGGCCAAAAAUUGACUUUAUUUUUCAUAAGUUAUUUACGAAAACUUCCUUCAUGAAAGUUAUAGAUUUUGGCGAUACAAGUUCGUAGACACGCGACACGUGUAAUUCGGAUGUCGUAUGAGAAAGUUUUGGUCAGAGGAAGUUAGUUUCCGGGUUUGGAAAAUGUAUAAGUAGAAAAAUGUGUGUGGGAGUUAUUUUUGGGAACCCUAAAAUCAGCUCACUCUCUUCUCUCUCUUCUCUCUCUCCCUCUCCCGACCUCACCCGCACACCAAACUUCCGCCGGAGCUAGCUCCGCCGUCUGGCUAGCAUUUGGACCGCCGCUGGUCCUGUUCGACUCCCACAAGUGUUCUCUUCAAGGCUAGGCUGCUGCUGCUCGGUGUAGCACGCCGGAAACGAAGCUUUUGGUCGGCAAAGGGCGCUGCUGUGCCACCGGUCGGAACCGCCGUAUACGGCGGCGACGAGGGGCAAACUUAGGUGAGUUUUGAUCCUCUCCUCCUUCUAGUUAUGGCUAGGCAUAGAUUGAAGCAAGUUUUUGAGGUUUUGAGGCCGGAUUUGCAGGUUUGGGAUUUGAUUUCGAGUUGGUAUUUCGGGGCUGUUUCCGGCCGGUUCCGGCCAAAAUCGGUUGAAGCCUCAGGUAUGAAAGUUGUUCCCCUUGCUUCAAGCUUCAACUUUGAUGUUUUGAGUUUUCUCAAAUUCAGAAGUUGGUAGUGGCGCGUGGGGCCCACUCACCGCCUCCUGUGGUGGCGCGUGGCAGCGCGUCCGACAGUGGUUGUGGCUUAGUUUGCUGUGUUUUUGCUAGCUCUUGUUGUGGUGAGCUUGUGGAGAUGUAGAAUUUCUAAGUUGUGAGCAAGGUUUGUUUGUUAGGACUUUAAGUUUGUUAUUAGGCUUGGUUGAGGUUUGAGUUAGGGUUUGGGGAUUAGAGGCAGCCAUUUUGGGUCUCUAAGUUCAACGACUUUGGAAAGUUGUCCUCCCUUGAACUAAGGGUUAGUUUAAGGGUAUUGUGAUAACCUAUAGUAUUUUAGUUACUAAGGUUUUAAUUGUGUUAUUUGAGGUGAUUUGUGAAGUUGUGUUUUGGCUUGCUAUUGUCGUCUUGUGGAAUUUGCAGCGGGAUAUUUAGGUGAGUAAAUCUCACCAAGGUUCACUUUUGAACCAAAUGUUAUUAUGGUCAUGUGAUGAUGAUAAUGAUGAUGAUUUUGGAUUUAAUAAUAUGCUUUUAAUUGUUUUUAAAAAUAUAUGAGCUUCAUCGCCAACGGCUCAUAGGUAAGAUAAAACAAGUUUUCCUUAUAUGCUAUUUUUGAGAUUCAUGUGAUCAUAAUUUUAUUAGUUAUUAAUAGAUUAUUCUUGUGGAAUAUCUAUAUUUUGUUCAUGUAAAUAUAUCUAUGUGGAAGGAUAUAAUUUAUGAUGUGAUAUUGUGUUGUUGAGGAUAAUGUUGUGAUAUUGUGAUUGUUGGAUAAAUAGCCAAACCAGAUUCCAAGCCUUUAAUUGGGUGAUUGGUUGCGGUUAAGAUGCUAUUUAUCAUUUUUAUGUUUGAUAUUAGACAAUCAAACCGGGUUCCAAGCCUUUGGCCGGGUGAUUGGUUGCGGUUAAGAAUAGAGGUCUAGUCCGUCUGUUAGUGUAGGUCAUGGGAGAUACCGUAUAGUAUCUGGGACCCAUGGGUACACUUUUUGUUGUAGGUCAUGAGGGGUAUUUAUUAAUACUUGGGACUCAUGGGUACAUGUUAAUUGAAAAAGUGUUGGAUUUGUGGAUUUAUUUAUUGAUAUAAAUUGCUCUUGUGAUAUAAUUGGUAAUUGGAGGUUUUGGUGUUAUUUUGAGAAUUACUUGUACGGGCUUUUUAGCUUACCGAGUUUGUUGUUUACAACCCGGUACACCAAUUCUUGAUGUAUGGGUUAGACCUGCAGGUGAGGAUCAGCAGAGUUGAGGCGGAGGCUUAGUGGCAGGGUUUUUGUUGGGUUUUGCUGUACAUUGUAUAUUUUUAUAUUUGGGGUAGACUUUAUUAAAACUCAUGUGAGUGGUUUCAUUUUCUUGAUUUUCAAGUUUAUGUAAACAAGGAAAUGUAAUAUUUAACUCGGUGUUGAAUUGUGUGACAUUUAUAUUUCCGCAUUGAGUUUUGGUUUCUUUGAAGUUUGUUUGAAAACAGGUUUUGGGAUAGAAUUAUUUUAAGAUGUAUCAUGCUAAAUUUAUGAAAAUUAUCUUUCGAAAAAUUGGGGUGUGACAACUGGGGGCAGUAAACUUCUACUGGUUUUUGUUUGUUGCUUGUUCUCUUAGUUUGUUUGAGUUGUAAUUUACUUAUGUGUUGGAACCAACAGGUGAAGCACAUUAUGGUGUUCAUCAAAUGUGUAUAUGAUUCCACCAUAUACUCUCUCAGCCAAGGCUUAGACCCUGAGGAAUGGAGGGAAAACUAUGACAAGCAAGAUAACCAAGGAAUAGUGGUUGACGGUUACUCGAUGAUGAGUGCUGAAGAGAAAAGAACAAGAAGAUGGAUGCUAAACCAAAACAUUUAUCAAGCAAGCUACCAACUGAUUGAUAUCUUAUCCUGCCCGCAACAAAUGAAAACUUCGUAAGUACCUUUAAACUUCCUUUAAAGAGUUUUAUUGGGGUCAGAAAUUAUUGUCUGUUUUAUUAGGGUAAAAUUUUAGUAACACUGUUUCUUAAUACAUUGUAGGUCAGACUUUGGACCAUUUUUGCUCCACUUUAUAGAGAGACCGACAGAAGAUGGUGGUAAUGAAAUGAGGAAGAAGAUGCUGCUAAAGUUCAUGGACAUAAAUAUAGAAAAA
RNAcentral lists this long non-coding RNA (6255 nucleotides) under Fragaria vesca (wild strawberry). Its description in RNAcentral is "long non-coding RNA (FVES_LNC000976)". The record is from RNAcentral. Lineage: Eukaryota; Viridiplantae; Streptophyta; Magnoliopsida; Rosales; Rosaceae.